UCAGUGAAGACCUUCAGACUGUCGAUUUCGAGCUCCUUAGCUAUUUUUAAACCGGCUAGAAGAGCUUCAUAUUCGGCUUGAUUAUUGAAAGCUUUGAAGUUGAACUGAAGGGCGUAUUCAAUGACUACCCCUUUUGAGUUGGUGAGUAUGAGGCCAGCUCCACUGUCUUGAGCUUUUGAUGCCCCAUCGAUGUGCAGCACCCA
Molecule: long non-coding RNA, 203 nt
Filed under: Elaeis guineensis (African oil palm)
Lineage: Eukaryota; Viridiplantae; Streptophyta; Magnoliopsida; Arecales; Arecaceae
Description: long non-coding RNA (EGUI_LNC064521)
Source: RNAcentral